CUUACUUGGAGUAGGGAGAUCAAGAUAGAGUUAUGUUUUCUUCCUGACGAGGUCACUUGGGUAUUACAUGAAGAAUGGAAGUUUUGGCUCCUCCAGUGUAAUAGUUUUUGCUUGGUUGAUUUUAGGUAAACUUUUAACUAGGUCGUUAGGGAUAUGAAUGCUACUACUUGUGUUUGUGCUCUUGGAAUCAAGAAUUGGAACAACAUUUAUUCUUUGUGCGAAGUUUGGAUUAAUAUUUUGUAUAAAGUGUGCAAAUAACUUGGAGUUUUUAUGGUUACCCCCAAGAGAUUUAGAAACUUUGUUUCUGGUAAAUUAACUAGACUAGCCAGGACGAAACAAAAAGGGGUGAAGGUUCUAGACUUAAUUUGACAAUCAAUGAUUUAGGAAAUUUGAGCCACAAAAAAAUUGAAGAGUUCUUUCAGACUCGGUCAUGAAGGUUCCUAGCAUGAUUGAACUUAUUAAAACAGUCUUAAAAUGAUUUCUGACAAAGACAAUGGGACACUGUCUUUUCUAUAAGUGGUGUGUUAAUCUGGACUCGAGGGUUCUUUUAUGUAUUUUUUAUUCUUUUUUUUUUUUAAGGAUGUAUUUUUUAUUCUCUAUUUUCUUGUUUCUUUAUCUUGUAUGUAGGUCUAGUACCCUUUAUAUUCUCUUCUAAUUGGAAUUUUGCUUUGUUGUU
This 676-nucleotide long non-coding RNA is filed under the name Medicago truncatula (barrel medic). Its description in RNAcentral is "lncRNA gene32330". The record is from RNAcentral. Lineage: Eukaryota; Viridiplantae; Streptophyta; Magnoliopsida; Fabales; Fabaceae.